GAAAUGCGAUACGUAGUGUGAAUUGCAGAAUUCAGUGAAUCAUCGAAACCUUGAACGCACCUUGCGCUUGCAGGUCCUCCUGCAAGCAUGCCUGUUUGAGCGUCGCUUUAUCAUCAUCCUCGAAACAAUCUUUCCCGGAUGGUACUGGUUGUCAGGCUUUGCGGUCUGUCAGCUGAAAUCCGCGACAGAGACCCCACAAUGAGGUCACGAUAGUGCAAUUGACAUGCCUUGCGCAUGAUUCUAGCACUGGACUGCCCUCGCCGGGAUCCCUCUGUGAAAGUCCGUCAGGACCCCAAACCCAUCGACCUCAAAUCAGGUAGGGAGACCCGCUGAACUUAA
This 339-nucleotide unclassified non-coding RNA is filed under the name uncultured Tremellomycetes. RNAcentral describes it as "sequence contains ITS1". The stretch from base 1 to 105 matches the Rfam family "5.8S ribosomal RNA", at positions 50 to 154 of the family's 154-position model. Lineage: Eukaryota; Fungi; Basidiomycota; Tremellomycetes. The record is from RNAcentral.